UGAAGAUGCAGUGUACCCGCGGCAAGACGGAAAGACCCCGUGAACCUUUACUAUAGCUUGACACUGAACAUUGAGCCUUGAUGUGUAGGAUAGGUGGGAGGCUUUGAAGUGUGGACGCCAGUCUGCAUGGAGCCGACCUUGAAAUACCACCCUUUAAUGUUUGAUGUUCUAACGUUGGCCCCUAAUCGGGGUUGCGGACAGUGUCUGGUGGGUAGUUUGACUGGGGCGGUCUCCUCCUAAAGAGUAACGGAGGAGCACGAAGGUUGGCUAAUCCUGGUCGGACAUCAGGAGGUUAGUGCAAUGGCAUAAGCCAGCUUGACUGCGAGCGUGACGGCGCGAGCAGGUGCGAAAGCAGGUCAUAGUGAUCCGGUGGUUCUGAAUGGAAGGGCCAUCGCUCAACGGAUAAAAGGUACUCCGGGGAUAACAGGCUGAUACCGCCCAAGAGUUCAUAUCGACGGCGGUGUUUGGCACCUCGAUGUCGGCUCAUCACAUCCUGGGGCUGAAGUAGGUCCCAAGGGUAUGGCUGUUCGCCAUUUAAAGUGGUACGCGAGCUGGGUUUAGAACGUCGUGAGACAGUUCGGUCCCUAUCUGCCGUGGGCGCUGGAGAACUGAGGGGGGCUGCUCCUAGU
Molecule: ribosomal RNA, 629 nt
Filed under: Escherichia coli
Lineage: Bacteria; Pseudomonadati; Pseudomonadota; Gammaproteobacteria; Enterobacterales; Enterobacteriaceae
Description: partial 23S ribosomal RNA
Rfam family: Bacterial large subunit ribosomal RNA
Source: RNAcentral